Molecule: ribosomal RNA, 497 nt
Filed under: uncultured bacterium
Lineage: Bacteria
Description: partial 16S ribosomal RNA
Rfam family: Bacterial small subunit ribosomal RNA
Source: RNAcentral
GAUGAACGCUGGCGGCGUGCCUAAUACAUGCAAGUCGAGCGAACGGACGAGAAGCUUGCUUUUCUGAUGUUAGCGGCGGACGGGUGAGUAACACGUGGAUAACCUACCUAUAAGACUGGGAUAACUUCGGGAAACCGGAGCUAAUACCGGAUAAUAUUUUGAACCGCAUGGUUCAAAAGUGAAAGACGGUCUUGCUGUCACUUAUAGAUGGAUCCGCGCUGCAUUAGCUAGUUGGUAAGGUAACGGCUUACCAAGGCAACGAUGCAUAGCCGACCUGAGAGGGUGAACGGCCACACGGGAACUGAGACACGGUACAGACUCCGACGGGAAGCAGCAGUAGGGAAUCUUCCGCAAUGGGCGAAGGCCUGACGGAGCAACGCCGCGUGAGUGAUGAAGGUCUUCGGAUCGUAAAACUCUGUUAUUAGGGAAGAACAUAUGUGUAAGUAACUGUGCACAUCUUGACGGUACCUAAUCAGAAAGCCACGGCUAACUACGUG